Molecule: ribosomal RNA, 406 nt
Filed under: uncultured bacterium
Lineage: Bacteria
Description: partial 16S ribosomal RNA
Rfam family: Bacterial small subunit ribosomal RNA
Source: RNAcentral
AUUGAACGCUGGCGGCAGGCCUAACACAUGCAAGUCGAGCGAGCGGCGGACGGGUGAGUAAUGUCUGGGAAACUGCCUGAUGGAGGGGGAUAACUACUGGAAAAGGUAGCUAAUACCGCAUCCCAUCAGAUGUGCCCAGAUGGGAUUAGCUAGUAGGUGGGGUAACGGCUAACAUAGGCGACGAUCCCUAGCUGGGCUGGAAGGAUGACCAGCCACACUGGACCUGAGACACGGUCCAGACUCCUACGGUAGGCAGCAGUGGGGAAGAUUGGACAAUGGGCGAAAGCCUGAGCCAGCCAUGCCGCGUGUGUGAAGAAGGUCUUCGGAUUGUAAAGCACUUUAAGUUGGGAGGCGUUACCAACAGAAUAAGCACCGGCUAACUCCGUGCCAGCAGCCGCGGUAAUUC